GAUGAACGCUGGCGGCGUGCCUAAUACAUGCAAGUCGAGCGAACAGACGAGGAGCUUGCUCCUCUGACGUUAGCGGCGGACGGGUGAGUAACACGUGGAUAACCUACCUAUAAGACUGGGAUAACUUCGGGAAACCGGAGCUAAUACCGGAUAAUAUAUUGAACCGCAUGGUUCAAUAGUGAAAGACGGUUUUGCUGUCACUUAUAGAUGGAUCCGCGCCGCAUUAGCUAGUUGGUAAGGUAACGGCGUACCAAGGCGACGAUGCGUAGCCGACCUGAGAGGGUGAUCGGCCACACUGGAACUGAGACGCGGUCCAGACUCCUACGGGAGGCAGCAGUAGGGAAUCUUCCGCAAUGGGCGAAAGCCUGACGGAGCAACGCCGCGUGAGUGAUGAAGGUCUUCGGAUCGUAAAACUCUGUUAUUAGGGAAGAACAAAUGUGUAAGUAACUAUGCACGUCUUGACGGUACCUAAUCAGAAAGCCACGGCUAACUACGUG
RNAcentral lists this ribosomal RNA (497 nucleotides) under uncultured bacterium. RNAcentral describes it as "partial 16S ribosomal RNA". It matches the Rfam family "Bacterial small subunit ribosomal RNA", at positions 28 to 507 of the family's 1533-position model. The record is from RNAcentral.